Molecule: ribosomal RNA, 497 nt
Filed under: uncultured bacterium
Lineage: Bacteria
Description: partial 16S ribosomal RNA
Rfam family: Bacterial small subunit ribosomal RNA
Source: RNAcentral
GAUGAACGCUGGCGGCGUGCCUAAUACAUGCAAGUCGAGCGAACGGACGAGGAGCUUUCUUCUCUGAUGUUAGCGGCGGACGGGUGAGUAACACGUGGAUAACCUACCUAUAAGACUGGGAUAACUUCGGGAAACCGGAGCUAAUACCGGAUAAUAUAUUGAACAGCAUGGUUAAAAAGUGAAAGACGGUCUUGCUGUCACUUAUAGAUGGAUCCGCGCUGCAUUAGCUAGUUGGUAAGGUAACGGCUUACCAAGGCAACGAGGCAUAGCCGACCUGAGAGGGUGAUCGGCCACACUGGAACGGAGACACGGUCCAGACUCCUACGGGAGGCAGCAGGAGGGAACCUUCCGCAAUGGGCGAAAGCCUGACGGAGCAACGCCGCGUGAGUGAUGAAGGUCUUCGGAUCGUAAAACUCUGUUAUUAGGGAAGAACAAAUGUGUAAGUAACUAUGCACAUCUUGACGGUACCUAAUCAGAAAGCCACGGCUAACUACGUG